This 1206-nucleotide ribosomal RNA is filed under the name Triticum aestivum (bread wheat). RNAcentral describes it as "partial small subunit ribosomal RNA". The record is from RNAcentral. Lineage: Eukaryota; Viridiplantae; Streptophyta; Magnoliopsida; Poales; Poaceae.
AUGGAUUACCAAGGAAACAAUCUUAGUGAUUUCUUUCAAGCUAAUGGGCAUUUGGUACUUAAAAGAGUGGACAACAACUAUAAACUGCGGUCCUUCACUGAAAAGGAGAUAGAGCACAUUACAGACAGAUAUAGCACUUCGCUUGGUAGUGGCUUGUUCGGUGAUGUCUACAAAGGAAGAUUAGACGAUCGACGUCCAGUCGCAGUAAAGAGGUACAAAAAUGGAACCAAGAAAGAGGAGUUUGCCAAGGAGGUGAUAGUGCAUUCCCAGAUAAACCACAAGAAUGUUGUCAGAUUGUUAGGCUGCUGCACGGAGGAAGAUGCCCUUAUGAUUGUUAUGGAGUUUGUCUGUAAUGGAAACCUCUACAACAUCCUUCACUGUAGCAAUGCUGAUGGUCCUAUACUCUUCCCUUUGGACAAACGUUUGGACAUCGCCAUUGAAUCAGCUGAAGCACUAUCAUGCAUGCAUUCAAUGUACAGUCCUGUCCUUCAUGGUGAUAUUAAACCUGCCAAUAUACUGUUGGAUGAAAAGUACUUGCCAAAGCUAUCUGAUUUCGGAAUAGCAAGGCUGCUUUCUACUCAUGAGGCCCAGCGUACCAAAACUGUUAUUGGUUGCAUAGGUUAUGUAGACCCUUUGUUUUGUCAGAGUGGGAUUCUAACUACAAAGAGUGAUGUAUACAGUUUUGGAGUUGUUCUAUUGGAAAUGAUUACCCGAAAGAAAGCGACGGACGGCGCUACUAGUCUUACUCAAUGUUUCGCCGAGGCAGUGGGAAGAGGGAAGAAGGUGAGACAACUGUUUGAUGCGGAAAUUACCUAUGACAAGAAGAAGAUGAAAUUGGUCGAAGAAAUUGUGAAGCUAGCAGUUACAUGCUUGAGACUGGAUGAUAAAAUGCGUCCGACAAUGGUUGAGGUAGCAGAUAGACUUAGGAGGAUUAGAAAAGCUCUCCCGAAGCACAAGGGUGAAAGCUCUACAGGCUCCCCCUAUGCGGACAUCAAUAAUUGGCACAUAAGAAGAGGAAAGGCACAGGAUGUACCAACUAUUUCCCUUGAUGAAAUGAAGAAAAUAACAAGGAACUUCAGUAAUGGUGCUCUAAUAGGAGAGAGUUCACAAGGCAGAGUUUUCUUCAAAGUGUUAAAAUAUGGACCGGAAUCUGCAUUCAAGUCUUCUCAAGAAAUUGAUUUAAAGGUUGAAGCAAUUCGAGACUGA